This 35-nucleotide ribosomal RNA is filed under the name Dirina indica. Its description in RNAcentral is "partial large subunit ribosomal RNA". The record is from RNAcentral. Lineage: Eukaryota; Fungi; Ascomycota; Arthoniomycetes; Arthoniales; Roccellaceae.
UUGACCUCGGAUCAGGUAGGGGUACCCGCUGAACU